GUCCACUCCGCUUCAUUAGAAAUGGCAUCAACUUGGUCAAAUUCGUAUCCUUUUAUGUACUUUUUUCAAAUCUUUAAAAGUGCGAAAUUUACAGCAUCUUUACUGUCGAAAAUCUCGAGAAUUCGUUCAUUGAAAGCUUUCUCCAACAAGCUUUUGUAAGCUAAAAACCUUUGAAUUUGCCAGAUUUUUUUACCAGUUUCAAGCAAGAUUACUAGCUAAUACCAUAAUGGACCCAUCUUUAAGCAGCUUUUCAUUAGGACAGUAUUAGUCCCAGAUUGAAUCGAUAAGUAAACAAUGGUAUCUUUAAGACAUAUUGUCUGAAUGUAUUGCAUUCAAUCCACUCGUCAGGCUCUUGAAGAUAAUUCACUGAAUUAUUGUAAAUGAAAGCAGAAUAACACUUUAACCAUAUAAUUUAUUUGACCUAGAAGCAAAUCCAACACUUAAAGCUGUGGCUUUUUGCGAUUUAAGUUUGUAAAGACAAGAAAGUCUUGAUUCUUGUUUCUUUAUCACUUACUGACUAUUCAAGAUUAUCUACUUGCUAAUCAUUUAUUUAGUUUACAUUUAAAUCAGUUAUUUGUAAUGCGAUAUUACAAUGAUCAAGAAUAAUAAGUAUUUAUUGCUGCGUAAAUAAAUUGGUGUCAUCUUGGUAUUAUGAUAAUUACUUGUCUCCUAUCAAUGGUAGCUCAUCAAGAUCACAAUCAUUUUACAACUUGUGUUUCUCAAUCACCGAUUGAAGUCAGUCUUUGAGUACAGUAGUUAUUGUUUUCAUUUAUAUAAAAUAAUUAAUACACAAGUAUCAUUCCUAAGAUCAUUAAGGAUAGCAAUCAAAGUGUGAGAAAAUUGAUAAAGAAAACAGUUACCUCGGAAAUUUAAUUCUGGUUAAUCUGUUACCAAGCCACCAGUGAUUAACUCAAUCAUUCUGUUUACUUAUGAGUGUUGAUUGAAUAAACUGAAGUAAAAAAUUAUUUCUCCUCAAUUGUGCUUUGAAAUAGAUAUGAUGAUGAAAAAAGAAGUGGUUAAGCAAAACUAUGGAAGGACUCCUGAAGAUCAAGCAAUAAUUGAAUUACUCCGAGAUGUUGUGCGUAAAUGUACCAAUCCUGAUUCCUCCAAACGUCCUUCAGCCUCUGAGCUUUAUGAAUCCUUGUCCUUCCAUUUGCAUAGUUUUGAUACCGAUCCUAAGAACAUUGGAGAGACAAUCAUCUGAAUUGGAAUGACAGGGAAAAUUAUCUACAAAAAGAAAGAUCAGAAAUGGAUGAAUAAUGAAUACUUUGGUUGCAUUUAAAAUGGAAGUGAGGAAACCACAAUUCAUUGAACUAACAAUUGGAAAAGAUAUUGUUACCCUUUUGAACUGUAUUGAUUGUGAAUAUUGAUUAAUGUUCAAUUGUGAUAGAUCACCUGCUUUUUAAAUGGCAAACAAAACAAUAAUUGUUGCAAAUAUAUGAGAAAAUUUGUAAUGUUUACUUUUAUUACACUGGUAAAAGUUAUUUUUAAGUUUGUUAAACCUCUAGUUAAUGUCAAUAAAACAUGUGUGAAAA
Long non-coding RNA from Tetranychus urticae (two-spotted spider mite), 1535 nucleotides. RefSeq lists it as uncharacterized. Lineage: Eukaryota; Metazoa; Arthropoda; Arachnida; Trombidiformes; Tetranychidae. The record is from RefSeq and is a predicted model, not a curated record.